GUCACACCCGUUCCCAUGCCGAACACGGAAGUUAAGCUCUUCAGCGCCGAUGGUAGUUGGGGGUUUCCCCCUGUGAGAGUAGGACGUUGCCAGGC
RNAcentral lists this ribosomal RNA (95 nucleotides) under Bacillus fengqiuensis. The record is from RNAcentral. Lineage: Bacteria; Bacillati; Bacillota; Bacilli; Caryophanales; Bacillaceae.